RNAcentral lists this RNase P RNA (363 nucleotides) under Puniceicoccales bacterium. RNAcentral's name for it is "RNase P RNA component class A". It matches the Rfam family "Bacterial RNase P class A". From Rfam's summary of the family: Ribonuclease P (RNase P) is a ubiquitous endoribonuclease, found in archaea, bacteria and eukarya as well as chloroplasts and mitochondria. Its best characterised activity is the generation of mature 5'-ends of tRNAs by cleaving the 5'-leader elements of precursor-tRNAs. Cellular RNase Ps are ribonucleoproteins. The record is from RNAcentral. Lineage: Bacteria; Pseudomonadati; Verrucomicrobiota; Opitutia; Puniceicoccales.
UUUGCCUAGAGGGAAUUCGAUGGGGGAAGAUUAUUUCUCUCAUAGGAAAGUCCGGACACCGUAGAGCAGGAUUCCGCAUGAAAGUGCGGGGGCCAUCGCUGAAGUGAUGGUCACGGAAAGUACAACAGAAAGGAUACCGCCGCAAGGUAAGGGUGAAAAGGGGAGGUAAGAGCUCACCGGACACGCAGUAAUGGGUGUUGCCAUGGAAACCCAAUUCGGUGCAAGACAGAAUAAGGAACGGGGUUGCUCGCCCAAUGGUUCCGGGUUUGUCGCAUCCCGUCUAGGGAAACAGUAUAAACUGUUAGAGAAAUGAAUUCCGGGCCGCAAGGCUUACAGAAUCCGGCUUAUAUCUAGGCAAAACAU